CAGUCGCCGCGGGAAUACGUAGGUGGCAAGCGUUGUCCGGAAUUAUUGGGCGUAAAGGGCUCGCAGGCGGUUUCUUAAGUCUGAUGUGAAAGCCCCCGGCUCAACCGGGGAGGGUCAUUGGAAACUGGGAAACUUGAGUGCAGAAGAGGAGAGUGGAAUUCCACGUGUAGCGGUGAAAUGCGUAGAGAUGUGGAGGAACACCAGUGGCGAAGGCGACUCUCUGGUCUGUAACUGACGCUGAGGAGCGAAAGCGUGGGGAGCAAACAGGAUUAGAUACCCCGGUAGUCCCUGUCUCUUAUAC
RNAcentral lists this ribosomal RNA (301 nucleotides) under uncultured bacterium. Its description in RNAcentral is "partial 16S ribosomal RNA". It matches the Rfam family "Bacterial small subunit ribosomal RNA", at positions 509 to 807 of the family's 1533-position model. The record is from RNAcentral.